UACGAAGGGGGCUAGCGUUGUUCGGAAUCACUGGGCGUAAAGGGCGCGUAGGCGGCUUUUCAAGUCGGGGGUGAAAGCCUGUGGCUCAACCACAGAAUUGCCUUCGAUACGGUUAGGCUUGAGACCGGAAGAGGUGAGUGGAACUGCGAGUGUAGAGGUGAAAUUCGUAGAUAUUCGCAAGAACACCAGUGGCGAAGGCGGCUCACUGGUCCGGUUCUGACGCUGAGGCGCGAAAGCGUGGGGAGCAAACAGG
Molecule: ribosomal RNA, 253 nt
Filed under: uncultured bacterium
Lineage: Bacteria
Description: partial 16S ribosomal RNA
Rfam family: Bacterial small subunit ribosomal RNA
Source: RNAcentral